CAGCCGCCGCGGUAAAACGUAGGGUGCAAGCGUUAAUCGGAAUUACUGGGCGUAAAGCGUGCGCAGGCGGUUAUAUAAGACAGAUGUGAAAUCCCCGGGCUCAACCUGGGAACUGCAUUUGUGACUGUAUAGCUAGAGUGCGGCAGAGGGGGAUGGAAUUCCGCGUGUAGCAGUGAAAUGCGUAGAUAUGCGGAGGAACACCGAUGGCGAAGGCAAUCCCCUGGGCCUGCACUGACGCUCAUGCACGAAAGCGUGGGGAGCAAACAGGAUUAGAUACCCGCGUAGUCCCUGUCUCUUAUAA
RNAcentral lists this ribosomal RNA (301 nucleotides) under uncultured bacterium. RNAcentral's name for it is "partial 16S ribosomal RNA". It matches the Rfam family "Bacterial small subunit ribosomal RNA", at positions 509 to 809 of the family's 1533-position model. The record is from RNAcentral.